CUGGGAUGCAGUGCCUUAGACCGCUGCGCCACUCAGGAUCCCAUAAAUAUAAUCAUCAUGACUGGACAUUAGGUGUACCAACAACAUUGACACACCAAACGUACUUUCCCUACCUCACAGUUACAUAUGGCUACACACACAGCAGACUAUGGUACUGUAGGUUACCACACAGAGAGGCCAGUUGUAAGGUUCUGUUCCUAAACCUAGCAGCAGAUACAGUGGCCUACCCUCCCCAUGGAGCAGGCUGACUGAUAAACAACAAGCCAGCUCACUGCAAUCCCCCAGGAUUCAUCUCUAAUGAGCAGUAAUGAUGACACUCAUUAGGAAAAGGAACAGUACAUGUAGCAGUACAGUUACCUGCUUGUUCCUGCUUUAAAGACUUAUUUGGCAUUGUCAUGCAUGAGGGGUUGCUGGCUAAAGCAGAAACAGAAAGGCUACCAAGGUACAUGCAUGGUGCAGUGGCAUGCUUCUGAACAUGAACAACAAUAGUUGAGUAUCCAUCCAAUGUAGCUAAAUAAGGGGUGCAUUCUAAAGAGAAAUGGCGUUACGGGGCAAACCACCACCUGCACGCAGAGCCAGAGCCAAAACAUCUGUUUAUUUUUCAAAUGACCAGAGGGUGGCAGCAGAAUCAAGAAAGCUAAAACCACCUAUGCAGCUACCGCGCUUUCGCAUGUCCGGUUAUGAUCCAGAUCGUGGAGCGAUAGAUACCGUAAUCCGCGCUAAUAAAGCACGUGUGAUACGCAAACGAACACUGGCUGAAACGAAUCAUGGACCAGCUUUAGUAGUAGUAGGCUAUACAUAUAUAUAUAUAUGUCCACAUGUUUGGUGUUAGAGGUUAUUAAUAGAUAAGAUAAGCCUACAGACUGACCCCUAUAGAUAAGGUAAGCCUACAGACUGUCCCCUAUAGAUAAGGUAAGCCUACAGACUGACCCCUAUAGAUAAGGUAAGCCUACAGACUGUCCCCUAUAGAUAAGGUAAGCCUACAGACUGUCCCCUAUAGAUAAGGUAAGCCUACAGACUGACCCCUAUAGAUAAGGUAAGCCUACAGACUGUCCCCUAUAGAUAAGGUAAGCCUACAGACUGUCCCCUAUAGAUAAGGUAAGCCUACAGACUGUCCCCUAUAGAUAAGGUAAGCCUACUGAGCCCAUGUGUUCUACAGUGAGCUCUCAACCAAGUGCAGCACUGUUCUUUUAAAGUUUUACACAUGAUAGUUUAAAAUGCUACAUAACAUCCUCUGGUAAAUUUGACACGGUGACUGCUCUAUUUUCAUUUUAUUUAGAAAUAUUAUUAACAUAAAUUGGCCGAAAUGCACUUCGAGAUGCGCAGUCGAGAACUUUCCAGACUCUCAGGAGGAACAGCCGGAGAAACGCCACCCCUCCAGCAAGUGGAGUGGGAUGCGCGUGUCAAAUUUGAAGUAGACUAGAGGCGGAGAGGGUAUAGGACUGCACGCGUCGGUAGAUAGCAGUGGGACUAGAGCACAUACCGGGCCCGGUACCAAAGGAUACACCCACCACGUAAGUUUAUUUUCAUUGUAGCCUGUCGGUUGGGUUGUGGAACGUAUAAUUCCGCUUUCAUAACGUUCCUAGUCUUUGGUAUGGAAUUGCAUCACAUGGUCAAGCGGUUGUAGGCUAUAGCAUCUUUUUUUUGUAUGGAAUAUAACCGAAAUAUCAGAGCCAUAUUUAGCCUAUAUAGCCUAUUUAUUUGGAUAUAUCCUACUGUUCUGAUAGACCCUAGAUUGUUUUUGGCCAGACGAUUUUCUGACCCAUCUCUAUAACCCUGUCGGGAGUUUCAGAAGCUACGCGCCCAGAUAAGGAACAGGUUGACGUUUGUCAUGAAUCUUGCCCUGGAGGCAGAACUGAGACAUGUCAGCUGCAAUGUCAACAUUUUUUCUUGCUUUUUGGUCUUCAUUUAACGUUACAUUAGGGUUAGCAGUGUGGUUAAGGUUAGGUUUUCAAAUCCGAUUUUAUGACUUUGUGGCUGUGCCAGCUAGUGAUCACUCUGCAGAGCUGCCUCCAGGGUAAGAUUCAUGACAAUAAAUGCCAACCUGCGGAUUGGGAAAGGAAUGAUUCGAACCACCUAUUCCCGGACGAUAGAGGCUCCAGAUCCCACGUUGCCAACAAACUGAGAGACCGUUAUGCAGUUUGUUGAUCUAUACAUAUAUUAACACUAUAAAUUAUUUCAACCCAAGAUUAACACCAAAGUUAACAUGGUACUGGUAAUUCUUUGUCUCUAUUCCACUGGAUGGUCAUUGUGAUGAGUCUGUGUAAUCCGGUGUAAUCCUCCUCUGCCUGUUUGUGUGAAUCUCUCUCUCUCUCUCUCUCUCUCUCUCUCUCUCUCUCUCUCGCUCUCUGUGUGUCUCUCUCUCUCUCUCUCUCAUCUCUCGAUCUUUCUCUUGGUUAUAUUUGCCUUUCUACAGUACUCUUUUCCUCCUCUCUCUCUCUCUCUCUCUCUCUCUCUCUCUCUCUCUCUCUCUCUCUCUCUCUCUCAGUUGCAAUGAAGGACGUGUGUUUCCAGUGUUAUCACACAAAAUGCCCAGAGGUGGCCAUAUUUUAUGAUCUUAAUGGUGAUCUGAACAAGAAUCUGCUGGUGCCAGGCCCUUUCCAGAAAUGCACCUCCACUCCCUAUCCUCCAUCUGGGAAGUGCACCAUGUGUCUCCAGGAUGAUUAUUCUUAUGCUUUGUGCAGAAGUGUGUCAGAGAGCCUCCAGCCUGCCCUGGAGGCCAACAGCACAGCUGUUACCAACUAUAAACAAACCAAUUGCUCUGCCAUUGGCAUCGCGUCAACUACUGUGAAUGGGGGUGAACUGUGGUGGUGUUUACUGAUCCUUGUCCUGGUCGUCAUUUGCAUUUGCAUUGGCAUUGCUUACUGGUGUAUCAAGAAGCGCAAAAUAAAUAGAAACCAUGUCGUAUGAGGGAGAAAGUGACAGGGACAGCACUCAGGACUACCCAUCCCUUAACCAAGCUGUUUGGACCAAACCACCAGAGACACGGACAACCCUCAGGACUACCCAUCCCUUAACCAAGCUGUUUGGACCAAACCACCAGAGACACGGACAACCCUCAGGACUACCCAUCCCUAAACCAAGCUAUUUGGACCCAACCACCAGAGACAGGGACAGCACUCAGGACUACCCAUCCCUUAACCAAGCUGUUUGGACCCAACCACCAGAGACACAGACAACCCUCAGGACUACCCAUCCCUAAACCAAGCUAUUUGGACCCAACCACCAGAGACAGGGACAGCACUCAGGACUACCCAUCCCUAAACCAAGCUGUUUGGACCAAACCACCAGAGACAGGGACAGCACUCAGGACUACCCAUCCCUUAACCAAGCUGUUUGGACCCAACCACCAGAGACACAGACAACCCUCAGGACUACCCAUCCCUUAACCAAGCUGUUUGGACCAAACCGACAGGGACAACCCUCAGGACUACCCAUCCCUUAACCAAGCUGUUUGGACCCAACCACCAGAGACAGGGACAACCCUCAGGACUACCCAUCCCUUAACCAAGCUAUUUGGACCCAACCACCAGAGACAGGGACAGCACUCAGGACUACCCAUCCCUUAACCAAGCUGUUUGGACCAAACCACCAGAGACAGGGACAACCCUCAGGACUACCCAAACCCCCAGAUCAGGAUGCUGCUGGAUUGUCUCUGCCUUCAUUCCAUCUCUUUAACUCUUCUUACAGUUGUAAUCUUUUUAUACAUUUUCAUAUUCAGAUUCCUGUAUAACAGUACCUGUAAACCAAUGCCUUGCAUAAUUUUUACUCUAAUUGUACUAACAUCAGCUGGCUGAAGCGAAGUCUUAGGAGUGCUAAUGGGAAUAAAUCAGGUUUAGGAAAAUGUCAUGCCACGCAAAGAAAAUGGUCUAAUUCACUACGUACUGUACCGUGAGUAUCACAAGUAUUCUGGAUAUGCUUGACAUCGGCAAAGACUGGGGAGUUGUUCAGGAUAAAAAUAAAUGGGAUGGAGCUAAGCCCAGGCAAAAUCCUAGUGUAAAACAUGCUUCAGUCUGCUUUACAUCAGACACUAGGAGAGGAAUUCACCCUUCAAUAACCUAUAACACAAGGCGAAAUCGACUUUGCAGUUGCUUACCAAGAAGACAGUGAAUGUUCCUGAGUGGCCAAGUUACAGUUUUGAUUUAAAUCUGCUUGAAAAUGUAGGGCAAGACUGAAUAAUUGCUGUCUAGCCAUGAUCCCCAACACCUUGACAGAGCUUGAAGAAUUUUGAAAAGAAUGAUGGGGAAAAUAUUGCACAUGUACCCAAGAAGACUAACAGCUGUAAUCCCUGCCAAAGGUGUUUCUAACAUGUAUUGGCUCAGGUGAAUACUUAUGUAAUCAAGGUAUAUUAGUGUUUUAUAUUUUUACAAAUGUUUUAUUUAAAAAAAUGUUUUAUUUUGGCAUGACAAGAGUAUUUUGUGUGGAUCAUUGACAAAAAAAUGACAAUGAAUUUCAUUUGAAUCCCAUAUUAUGUAAAGAAAUCCAAGGGAGUUGAAUGAUAGUGUAUUAUUAUAGUACUCUACUAAAGUGUUGGAGAUGCAGUGUGUCAGAAAAGGAUCAUGAAAUAUUAACUUCUCUUUUUUUAACUUUCUCAAAUAAAUUGAAAUUUUUAAUGUGUUGCAUUUACUGCCACCGUUCUGGUGUCACACAUAAUAUAUCUGGGUAUACACAUGUUUCAGCUGCGUCUAUCGCUCAUGUUUGAUACUCAUUGUUUUAUUGGAAGUAGAGUUUCUAUGCGCACCAGUGAAAUAGUUUUUAAACAUUUCCUAGAACAGUGAGGCUAUAGGCCUACUGGUAAAAUGAGGGAGUACUUCAGGCUCACUCCUGGCAGAGCAAAAUUCAGUUGGUGGAACAGUAAAACCAAAAAAGGUUGAACCACUGCCCUAAAUAAUUACAUUUCUCCUACAUAGACCUGUGUGACGGCAUGGAUGUACUUUAUUCAGCUGUCUGAAUAAUAUAAAUCCAGGUCUGUUGGCCUGGUAAACUUGCCUUUCCAGCUGUCUGAAUAAUAUAAAUCCUGGUCUGUUGGCCUGGUAAACUUGCCUUUCCAGCUGUCUGAAUAAUAUAAAUCCUGGUCUGUUGGCCUGGUAAACUUGCCUUUCCAGCUGUCUGAAUAAUAUAAAUCCAGGUCUGUUGGCCUGGUAAACUUGCCUUUCCAGCUGUCUGAAUAAUAUAAAUCCUGGUCUGUUGGCCUGGUAAACUUGCCUUUCCAGCUGUCUGAAUAAUAUAAAUCCUGGUCUGUUGGCCUGGUAAACUUGCCUUUCCAGCUGUCUGAAUAAUAUAAAUCCUUGUCUGUUGGCCUGGUAAACUUGCCUUUCCAGCUGUCUGAAUAAUAUAAAUCCUGGUCUGUUGGCCUGGUAAACUUGCCUUUCCAGCUGUCUGAAUAAUAUAAAUCCUGGUCUGUUGGCCUGGUAAACUUGCCUUUCCAGCUGUCUGAAUAAUAUAAAUCCUGGUCUGUUGGCCUGGUAAACUUGCCUUUCCAGCUGUCUGAAUAAUAUAAAUCCUGGUCUAUUGGCCUGGUAAACUUGCCUUUCCAGCUGUCUGAAUAAUAUAAAUCCUGGUCUGUUGGCCUGGUAAACUUGCCUUUCCAGCUGUCUGAAUAAUAUAAAUCCUGGUCUGUUGGCCUGGUAAACUUGCCUUUCCAGCUGUCUGAAUAAUAUAAAUCCAGGUCUGUUGGCCUGGUAAACUUGCCUUUCCAGCUGUCUGAAUAAUAUAAAUCCUGGUCUAUUGGCCUGGUAAACUUGCCUUUCCAGCUGUCUGAAUAAUAUAAAUCCAGGUCUGUUGGCCUGGUAAACUUGCCUUUCCAGCUGUCUGAAUAAUAUAAAUCCUGGUCUGUUGGCCUGGUAAACUUGCCUUUCCAGCUGUCUGAAUAAUAUAAAUCCAGGUCUGUUGGCCUGGUAAACUUGCCUUUCCAGCUGUCUGAAUAAUAUAAAUCCUGGUCUGUUGGCCUGGUAAACUUGCCUUUCCAGCUGUCUGAAUAAUAUAAAUCCUGGUCUGUUGGCCUGGUAAACUUGCCUUUCCAGCUGUCUGAAUAAUAUAAAUCCUGGUCUGUUGGCCUGGUAAACUUGCCUUUCCAGCUGUCUGAAUAAUAUAAAUCCUGGUCUGUUGGCCUGGUAAACUUGCCUUUCCAGCUGUCUGAAUAAUAUAAAUCCUGGUCUGUUGGCCUGGUAAACUUGCCUUUCCAGCUGUCUGAAUAAUAUAAAUCCAGGUCUAUUGGCCUGGUAAACUUGCCUUUCCAGCUGUCUGAAUAAUAUAAAUCCUGGUCUAUUGGCCUGGUAAACUUGCCUUUUCAGCAGUUACAGUAACAAAGGUGACACGGUUUACAAGCACUUGCAUUAACAUCUGCCAACCAUGUGUAUGUGACCAAUAACAUCUGCCAACCAUGUGUAUGUGACCAAUAACAUCUGCUAACCAUGUGUAUGUGAC
Molecule: long non-coding RNA, 6426 nt
Organism: Oncorhynchus kisutch (coho salmon)
Lineage: Eukaryota; Metazoa; Chordata; Actinopteri; Salmoniformes; Salmonidae
Exons: 4
Source: RefSeq, a predicted model, not a curated record